This is a long non-coding RNA of Chionomys nivalis (European snow vole), 3042 nucleotides long. RefSeq lists it as uncharacterized. The transcript has 3 exons. NCBI's taxonomy places the organism in Eukaryota, Metazoa, Chordata, Mammalia, Rodentia, Cricetidae. The record is from RefSeq and is a predicted model, not a curated record.
AGCCCUAUCUAAGAACCAGGAAUUGGGGUCCCUAGCUUUAAAUCAGGGGUGUGUUGUUUCUCUGGGAUUUGCCUCAAGGCUUUUCAGCCUAUCUAGGCGAUAACCUCUCAAAAAUCGGAGCCAUUCUAGCGUCCAGGCCCAGGUUUGAGGCCAUGAUGACUCAACGCAGCAUCCCCUCCCCGUGACAAACAGCGGUCUCCGCCUAUCCCCAAUCAAUCUCAACCAGGCACUCUGGGCGCCAGGAUUCCCAGUGCUUAGCUGGUGGGUAAAGGGGCUCAUCCCCUUCCCCAUAACCCAGCAGGCUAGACGGCCUCUCCACCCAGUCUUCUGGAGUGCAGAGCUCUCGCCAGGAUUCUGCUCUCGAAGGCUUAGAAGGAUGUGACCUCCAAACCGGGAAUUUAAGACGCAAGAACCAGUCAGCGAAUGUGGCAGCCUAGUUCUCGAACAAAACCUCAAGGUUCAUCCACCUGCAGACUCUGGUGAACUCUCUUCCCUGUGCCUGGUGUUACACUAGAAGCUGAGAUCAAGGCAAUAGCAAGACCUUCAAGGCACCCAGAUCUGAAGUCUGCUUGAAAGCUGAACCAUGCCACAGCCAUGUUCUGCUUCCCUCCAGCUAGGAUUUUCAUUGUAUCUCUCUCCUCCACUGAGACUGGGACCUGCUCACAUCCCUCUGCAUCCUAAGAGCAUGUUCUUCCAUGGAAGGCAUGUUAUAGAAUGGGAUGUAUCAUUGGAGACGCAGAUGUUCCAGAAGAUGUUUUCGCUGGCUGGAAGAAAACAUAAGACUCAACAAGUUCAUCGCAAGGAUGUCCAAGUCAUCCAUUUGAAUGGGCCUACUGUGCCAGGCACGUCACUGUCUCUGACUUUCCGUUCCAGAGCUGAACAGCAUGGGUGACUCUACCAAGCACAUCCUGGAAACCUUUCAUCCACAAAGGUUGUACCAGGCUCAUCUUAUGAAGCUCAGGAAUAACGGCAGGUAUGGGCAACAAGAUCCUGUCGCUUUAUGGAAUUCAGUCUCUGCCAGGAAGGCAGACAUCAAGUUAGAAAUCAGCAGUAAGACUUGAGCAUAUGGAGAGAAUUAACCACUGCUAUGGGCUUGACCCAGGCAUCUGGAAGCUCCCCUCUCUAAAGAAGUGGAAACUGCUGAAAGAUGCUCAAUACAGUGCCAAGCCAAGAAGAGCCAUGCACCAUACAUAGAUCAUCAAAAAUGGCCGAGGAAGGCAAUUCUUUCUACCGUUCAUACUGCAGUCUCUGUACGUGUUGCUUAGUCUCUAGGCCCACCAUCUGUACAUUCAAACCCUCUUUUCGUUUCUCUUCUGACCCUUUUGAAAAAUAAUGUGAAAACGAAAACUGCUCUCCGGCGUGGCUGUGCCAAAUUCAUGAGACCCUCACACAAACUUCUCUUCUGUCCACACUUGAAGACAAUGGAUUCAGGGCAUUUAGAUGGGUGCUCAGCGAGCUUACAUGGGAUCCAGAGCCAGGUAGAUGUUCAAAGGCCAGGUUCCCAACACUUUCUUGAGGUUUCUCCCAUUCAGAUCUACAUUUCAUCAAGGGAUGUUUCAAUUAAAAACACUGCCCAUGAGCAGUAAAAUAAUUAUGAAUUAGUUUAUAAUAAAAUGAUUAUGAGUUAAUUCAUAAUUGCCCCAGGCCCCUCCAGCUGUUUUAAGUUGGUCUCUCAGAAGAUGUGAGUCGGGAAUUUGAAUUUUGUCAAGCUACGCAAGCGCAUCCCAUGGGUAGGAGAAUUUCUGAACUUCAGCCAACUUCCAUGCACUGGUAAGAGACUAAGUAGCAGGCAGAAACAGACGGCUGCUGAUACAGUCCUCUGUGUCCCAGCCACCGUCUUGGGUUGGUCUUCUCACCUGAUGACAUACUACAACCUUGGGAUUUUCAAACUGCAGAUUGUUUGGCCUCACAUUUGGGCAAGCUCUCUAGGCAGGGCCCAGGGAGCUGCAGACUUGAGCUGCAGCCGAUUGGUGGAAAGUGAGACUUUUUCAGAGGAAGUAAGAUAAGGCAGAACUCAGAAAAACAAACAUCCUGAGGCCGGUGUGCCAGAGGCCACUGGCAAAAUCUAUAGCCUACUGCUAAGUGAGUUAAACAAACACAUUACCCGGCCAUCCAGGAAACCUGAAGCAGAUGCCUGGAAGUAGGACAUGUGAUUGCAACCUGGGAAGAAAUAUCCCAGGGAGUGAUGGGGUGGGAUGAGGCACAGAGUGCACAGAAUAACAGCGGGAAUCUCCAGCAGGCAGUAUAGCCAAGACAGGCAGGUGGGAUUCCAGUCAUGGCGCUCAAAGCAAGUUUAAGCCUGGAGAGAGAAUUGUUAGAGAUGUUAGGGUCUGGGCCUCAGCAACCCUAACAAGCUAGGCUCAACCUCAGUAGGUUAAAGACACAAGAGUGAAAACCAGAGGAAGGGGAUUUAUUCAAAGCAAUCACAUCAUACAGAGAAGCAAAUCGGUCCAGUGACUCUCCCACCACAAGCGAGUCAAUCUCGGAAUACCGACAGGAGAUUUGGGUUUAAACCAAAGGUUAGAGUUAUGAGCAGACAAUAAGUGCUGAUCAAGGUGUGACCCUGACCACCGGUGUCUCAGCUUCAGUCUGUCUUGCAAGGUAGCCUGACCAGUAGUCAGAACUGCAUGGAAUCUCCUUCUAAACACAAGUUUCUUCUGCUGGCAAGAAGGUUCUAUGUAUCCUCUUCUCAGCAUUGGAUUUUUAAGCAAAUCCUGAUUUCUUGGAGACCAUUGUUUCAAUAGUCUGGGAGCCAAAGUCAAGGGCAAGAUGUCCUGUAGAGUAUCUUCAGUCCUGCCAGGACGUUCACACGAUCUAAUAACAUAAAGCUGUGUGCCUUUCUUUCUCCUGUCCAUGGAAGUGCCUGGUGGCAGCUACAGCCAGAGCAACAGUAAUGGAGACCCGCUGGCUCUGGCGAGCACUUACGAACUUUGGCAUGCUAAAAAGAUUGUGGUACUGCCUACCCACCCAUUAAAUCACAUGAAAAACCAGUUCUGGUUCAAAAUAAAAACGAAGGAAGUGUCCUCCCAACAACUUCAGCAA